UACACUCCUGCGGGAGGCAGCAGUGGGGAAUAUUGGACAAUGGGCGCAAGCCUGAUCCAGCCAUGCCGCGUGAGUGAUGAAGGCCCUAGGGUUGUAAAGCUCUUUCACCGGAGAAGAUAAUGACGGUAUCCGGAGAAGAAGCCCCGGCUAACUUCGUGCCAGCAGCCGCGGUAAUACGAAGGGGGCUAGCGUUGUUCGGAAUUACUGGGCGUAAAGCGCACGUAGGCGGAUCGAUCAGUCAGGGGUGAAAUCCCAGGGCUCAACCCUGGAACUGCCUUUGAUACUGUCGAUCUGGAGUAUGGAAGAGGUGAGUGGAAUUCCGAGUGUAGAGGUGAAAUUCGUAGAUAUUCGGAGGAACACCAGUGGCGAAGGCGGCUCACUGGUCCAUUACUGACGCUGAGGUGCGAAAGCGUGGGGAGCAAACAGGAUUAGAAACCCCUGUAGUCCCAUGAU
RNAcentral lists this ribosomal RNA (453 nucleotides) under uncultured organism. RNAcentral's name for it is "partial 16S ribosomal RNA". It matches the Rfam family "Bacterial small subunit ribosomal RNA", at positions 332 to 801 of the family's 1533-position model. The record is from RNAcentral.